GGGGCUGUAGCUCAGUGAUAGAGCACUCAUCUAGCAUGUGUGAGGCCCUGGGUUCGAUCCUCAGCACCA
Molecule: transfer RNA, 69 nt
Filed under: Ictidomys tridecemlineatus (thirteen-lined ground squirrel)
Lineage: Eukaryota; Metazoa; Chordata; Mammalia; Rodentia; Sciuridae
Description: Spermophilus tridecemlineatus (thirteen-lined ground squirrel) tRNA
Rfam family: tRNA
About the family: Transfer RNA (tRNA) molecules are approximately 80 nucleotides in length.
Source: Rfam by way of RNAcentral